This 552-nucleotide ribosomal RNA is filed under the name uncultured archaeon. RNAcentral describes it as "bacterial SSU rRNA". It matches the Rfam family "Archaeal small subunit ribosomal RNA", at positions 326 to 879 of the family's 1478-position model. The record is from RNAcentral.
UGGGGCGCCCAGGCGCGAAAACUUUACAAUGCUGGCAACAGCGAUAAGGGGACCUCGAGUGCCAGGAUACAAUCUUGGCUGUCGCGAUGCCUAAAAAGCAUUGCAUAGCAAGGGCCGGGCAAGACCGGUGCCAGCCGCCGCGGUAACACCGGCGGCUCGAGUGGUAACCGCUAUUAUUGGGUCUAAAGGGUCUGUAGCCGGCCGGAUAAGUCUUUUGGGAAAUCCAGCUGCUCAACAGUUGGGCUUUCAGAAGAUACUGUUCGGCUCGAGACCGGGAGAGGUGAGAGGUACUUCAGGGGUAGGGGUGAAAUCUUGUAAUCCUUGAAGGACCACCAGUGGCGAAGGCGUCUCACCAGAACGGAUCUGACGGCAAGGGACAAAAGCUAGGGGCACGAACCGGAUUAGAUACCCGGGUAGUCCUAGCCGUAAACGAUACUCGCUAGGUGUCAGCCACGGUGCGACCGUGGUUGGUGCCGUAGGGAAGCCGUGAAGCGAGCCACCUGGGAAGUACGGCCGCAAGGCUGAAACUUAAAGGAAUUGGCGGGGGAGCAC